Molecule: transfer RNA, 86 nt
Filed under: Paracoccaceae bacterium
Lineage: Bacteria; Pseudomonadati; Pseudomonadota; Alphaproteobacteria; Rhodobacterales; Paracoccaceae
Also listed under: 1 other name
Description: tRNA-Leu
Rfam family: tRNA
About the family: Transfer RNA (tRNA) molecules are approximately 80 nucleotides in length. Their secondary structure includes four short double-helical elements and three loops (D, anti-codon, and T loops).
Source: RNAcentral
GCGGGCGUGAUGGAAUGGUAGACAUACCAGACUUAAAAUCUGGAGGCCGAAUGGCCGUGCGGGUUCAAGUCCCGCCGCCCGCACCA